Phragmites australis (common reed) is the source of this 2600-nucleotide RNA transcript. It is a transcript of the gene named zeaxanthin epoxidase, chloroplastic-like, with no coding region annotated. Lineage: Eukaryota; Viridiplantae; Streptophyta; Magnoliopsida; Poales; Poaceae. The record is from RefSeq and is a predicted model, not a curated record. The transcript is spliced from 17 exons.
GACCUUCUAUAAGGUGAUUGGCUCCGGUUCCUCCUCCCCUCACCACCACCUGUCCGCUCCAACUCCUCCCUCCUAGUCCUCCUCCACAACACCAACCCAAUGGCAAGGUUCUAGAAGCAAAGAAACGCGGCCUCGAGCUUAACUCCUCCACUGCUUCGACUCCAAUUGCUCAACGCCUUCUCCAACGCAAGCUUCUAGCUAGGUACGUAGCUGCCGCUCGGUGUGCGUGCGCGCCCAUGGCGCUGCUCUCCGCCACCUCCCCCGCCAAGGCGCACUUCUCGGCGCUCUUCCUCUGCCACGACGAGCCGCAGCACGGCCAGCACCAGCACGCGCUCUCGGCCCCGCACCCGCAGUGCUUCGGCGGCAAGGCUAGGCAGCGGGCGCGCGGCAGGUGCGCGGCGGCAAUGCGGCCGCCGGACGCGCCCGCGGUCGCGCAGACGGCGCCAGCGCCGGCGCCCGCGGGGGGUGAGGUGGGGAGGAAGCCGCGGGUGCUGGUGGCGGGCGGCGGCAUCGGCGGGCUGGUGUUCGCGCUGGCGGCGAGGCGGAAGGGGUACGAGGUGACGGUGUUCGAGCGUGACAUGAGCGCGGUGCGCGGGGAGGGACAGUACCGCGGGCCCAUCCAGAUCCAGAGCAACGCGCUCGCCGCGCUGGAGGCCAUCGACUUGGCCGUCGCCGAGGAUGUCAUGCGCGCCGGCUGCGUCACCGGGGACAGGAUCAACGGCCUCGUCGACGGCAUCUCCGGCUCCUGGUACAUCAAGUUUGAUACGUUUACUCCUGCAGCUGAGCGAGGGCUCCCAGUCACAAGGGUCAUUAGCCGCAUGACGCUGCAGCAGAUUCUUGCCCGUGCGGUUGGUGAUGAUGCCAUAUUGAAUGAAAGCCACGUUGUCGAUUUUAUAGAUGAUGGCAACAAGGUUACUGCCAUAUUGGAGGAUGGUCGAAGAUUUGAAGGUGAUCUUUUGGUUGGUGCCGAUGGAAUACGGUCAAAGGUGAGGAAGACACUAUUCGGGUAUACAGAAGCCACGUAUUCAGGUUACACUUGCUACACUGGAAUUGCAGACUUUGUGCCUCCUGAUAUUGACACAGUUGGGUACCGAGUAUUUCUUGGUCACAAACAAUACUUCGUCUCGUCAGAUGUCGGCGCUGGUAAAAUGCAAUGGUAUGCUUUUCACAAAGAAGCUGCUGGUGGCGCCGACCCUGAAAAUGGCAAAAAGAAAAGAUUGCUUGAGAUAUUCAGCGGUUGGUGCGAUAAUGUCGUAGAUCUGAUAAAUGCAACUGAAGAGGACGCGAUUCUUCGCCGGGAUAUAUAUGACCGCCCACCUACUAUGAAUUGGGGAAAAGGUCGUGUCACCUUGCUUGGUGAUUCUGUCCAUGCUAUGCAGCCAAAUCUGGGUCAAGGUGGCUGCAUGGCUAUUGAGGAUGGCUACCAGCUGGCUAUAGAACUUGAGAAUGCCUGGCAGGAGAGUGUCAAGUCUGGAACUCCUAUGGACAUAGUUUCCUCCUUGAAGCGUUAUGAGAAGGAGAGAAGGCUGCGUGUUGCUAUUAUACAUGGAUUGGCAAGAAUGGCAGCCAUCAUGGCUACCACUUAUAGACCAUAUUUGGGUGUUGGUCUGGGACCUUUGUCAUUUUUGACGAAGUUGAGGAUACCACACCCUGGAAGAGUUGGCGGGCGAUUCUUCAUCAAGUACGGAAUGCCUAUGAUGCUGAGCUGGGUGCUAGGUGGAAACAGCUCAAAGCUAGAAGGAAGACCUUUAAGCUGCCGACUAUCUGACAAGGCAAACGACCAGCUUCAUCGAUGGUUUGAGGAUGACGAUGCGUUGGAAGAAGCUAUGGGUGGAGAAUGGUACCUCUUCCCCGCAAGCUCAGGAAACAGCAACUUGCAUCCCAUUUGUUUAAUCAGGGGCGAACAGAGGACACUCUCUGUUGGAAGCAGAUCAGAUCCCAGUGACUCUGCUUCUUCCCUGGCAUUGCCCUUGCCACAGAUAUCAGAAACCCAUGCUACUAUCACGUGCAAAAAUAAGGCUUUCUAUCUGACUGAUCUCGGAAGCGAACACGGUACCUGGAUUACCGACAACGAAGGUAGACGUUACCGCGUGCCUCCAAACUUCCCAGUUCGUUUCCACCCCUCCGAUGUCAUUGAGUUCGGUUCUGAUAAGAAGGCCAUGUUCCGGUUGAAGGUGCUGAACACGCUCCCAUACGAAUCCACAAGAAGAGGGGGACAGCAGCAAGUCCUUCAAGCAGCAUGAAUGGAGACAUCAACCACGACUCCAGUCAUCAGCCACAGUACUGUACAGCAUUCGAUCCCGAACCAGAUUUUGAGUACUUGCGUCUAACGAAUUGGAAUUUCAUUUCAGUUCUACGAAAAGAGCUGAGUUGUACAAUUGGAAUAGGCAAUUUAGCUGUUGCCGGCUGUGUACAUUGUUGUACCAUCAAAGAAAAUACUGCACAUCAAGAAAGCAGAUUGUAAUUACGGCACGGACACUGUAACACAAUGAUCAUGUAAUAUACGGAUGUUAUAGUACUUAGCAUCGAGUCAUAUAAGAUAUAUCAGUGUCCUUUGUCGAGCACUAUCUCUUUGAAACACGGGAAUUUCCUUUGACUCA